RNAcentral lists this long non-coding RNA (257 nucleotides) under Brassica napus (rape). RNAcentral describes it as "long non-coding RNA (BNAP_LNC009092)". Lineage: Eukaryota; Viridiplantae; Streptophyta; Magnoliopsida; Brassicales; Brassicaceae. The record is from RNAcentral.
AAUUCUUCGCUUCAAGUCUCUCUCUAUCACAAGUAGCCACCAUGAAGCACUUAAUGCUGUAUACAAAAAAGAACAAAGUAUAUCAAAGAAACAUAGAAAAGACUAAUAACCUCUCUAACGAUCCAAUGGAACCUAACCUCUCUAACAAUCAUUCAAAUAGACAGGACGCUCGCUAGUUUCUAAUUGUUUCCACACUAUGAAUAUACUACACUUGUCGCCUCAAAACGUGACGGAUGUUCCUUAUCUCUCUCUCCAGU